GAAAUUUUGAAAGUAAGCGGCGGCGUCUGGUUUUUCACGGACCUCGUUUCACCAACGGGGGUGGGUUGGCGAGAGGCGGUAGAACGAGGAGCACAGAGACGUCUCGUUUCCGACGGCGUUACCGCGUUGAGUCGCGCGGAAUAGAGAUUGUUCGAGCGAUGGAACGACUCCGGUCGAGACACAAGGUAGCUGUUUGGCGAGGAUGAGAAAAGAGGAAUGGGGCUGAUUAAUUGUUUGAUGUACGCUAUCAGUGAAAAAUAGAGUUGUUUAAAAAAGUAUUCGAAUACCAGUAGAAAUUUUUUAUGAAGAUAAUCUAUUAAUGAAACAUUUUGGAAUUUCACGAGCACCGUAGUGAUUAUGUAACAACCCAUCAUGAUUCGUACAAAAGCAAAGAAGACAUCGAACAGAACGGGCUUGCAGCGGUUCCAAAAAACGGUCUCAUUGGGCUAACGAGAAGCGAUCGCAAUUGCAGCGAAUAAUAGCGAAACGUUUCACGGAGAGCAGCCGGUACGACCUCCCGAGGUCCAUGAACGAGCGAUCGAACUCCGCCGCUGCUGUCAGUUGCCACGACGCACGACGCGCGUUUCAAGAAUACAAAAGGGUGAAGAAAAAGGGAGAAACAUGAGAAAAGAAAGAAGGGAAAGGAAAAACAGCGGCACGGGUCAGCCGGUGAAACAAGAGCAAGAAAGAGAGGAGAGGCUCGCGGACAGAGAAAAAAGCUGGAGG
This is a long non-coding RNA of Bombus impatiens (common eastern bumble bee), 726 nucleotides long. RefSeq lists it as uncharacterized. The record is from RefSeq and is a predicted model, not a curated record. The transcript is spliced from 2 exons. Lineage: Eukaryota; Metazoa; Arthropoda; Insecta; Hymenoptera; Apidae.